This 738-nucleotide ribosomal RNA is filed under the name Elatonitor suturalis. RNAcentral describes it as "partial large subunit ribosomal RNA". The record is from RNAcentral. Lineage: Eukaryota; Metazoa; Mollusca; Gastropoda; Stylommatophora; Helicarionidae.
GGUUAUUAAAAUUUUACUGCAAAGAAAUUUACUUUUAGUAAAUUAUAUACCUUUUGCAUAAUGGUUUAAUUAUAAGUAAUUAAAACUAAUAUCCCCGAAAUUAGAAGAUUUAAUUUUAUUAUUUUAUUAGAAAUAAUAAUGUUUCAAAAUUAUAUAUAAAUACAAUUAGUGGUGAAAGGCUUAUCAAUUCUAAUGAUAUCUGGAAUAAUUUUAAAUGUAUUUAGUACAGAAUAAAGUUGAAUAAAAAAAUGUUAAGAUUUUUUUAAAAAGAAUAUAAAUUUUUAUUAUGAAUUAAUCUUCCAAUACUUUAUUACUAUAUAAUUAUUAAUUUAUUUAUCUUAUGUAAAAUUAUAUUAUAACUUCUUAAUAAUUGAUUAUGUUAAAAUUAGUAUAAUAUUUAUAUUACUAUAAAGAACUCGGCUAAUUAUUCAUCUGUUUAUCAAAAACGGCCGCAGUACUUUGACUGUGCUAAGGUAGCAUAAUAAAUUGACUUUUAAUUGGGGCCUUGAAUGAAUGGAUAGAUAAUUUCUGUUUCUAAUAACUUAUUAUAAAUUACUUAAAAGGUGAAAAUUCCUUUAAUAUAUUAAAUAGACGAGAAGACCCUAGGAGUUUUAAUUUUGUUGGGGCGACAAUAUAGCAAAACCUAUAUAUAAUAAUAUUUAACGAAUAAUUUUAAUAAUAAUAAACUACCCUAGGGAUAACAGCAUAAUUUAUUAAGUUUGUGACCUCGAUGUUGGA